RNAcentral lists this ribosomal RNA (558 nucleotides) under uncultured bacterium. Its description in RNAcentral is "bacterial SSU rRNA". It matches the Rfam family "Bacterial small subunit ribosomal RNA", at positions 102 to 674 of the family's 1533-position model. The record is from RNAcentral.
ACGGGUGAGUAACACGUGAGCAACCUGCCCUGGACUCUGGGAUAAGCGCUGGAAACGGUGUCUAAUACUGGAUAUGAGACGUGAUCGCAUGGUCGUGUUUGGAAAGAUUUUUCGGUCUGGGAUGGGCUCGCGGCCUAUCAGCUUGUUGGUGAGGUAAUGGCUCACCAAGGCGUCGACGGGUAGCCGGCCUGAGAGGGUGACCGGCCACACUGGGACUGAGACACGGCCCAGACUCCUACGGGAGGCAGCAGUGGGGAAUAUUGCACAAUGGGCGCAAGCCUGAUGCAGCAACGCCGCGUGAGGGAUGACGGCCUUCGGGUUGUAAACCUCUUUUAGCAGGGAAGAAGCGUAAGUGACGGUACCUGCAGAAAAAGCGCCGGCUAACUACGUGCCAGCAGCCGCGGUAAUACGUAGGGCGCAAGCGUUAUCCGGAAUUAUUGGGCGUAAAGAGCUCGUAGGCGGUUUGUCGCGUCUGCUGUGAAAUCCCGAGGCUCAACCUCGGGCCUGCAGUGGGUACGGGCAGACUAGAGUGCGGUAGGGGAGAUUGGAAUUCCUGGU